UUACUCUCUUUUCACCUUUGUUGUCUGCCUGCCUGUUCGCUUGGUAGACGCACACCAACCAACCUAACCAACUGGACUGCUAAUGCUCGUUCUGCCAGUGCCACUUCCCUUUUAUCGCUUUUCCUCACCGCUCUUUCUCUUCUUACCUUUCUUUCGUUCGACGAUUUUCUCCUCUUUAUUACGUCAAACCUCUGAGUCCAUUUUUCGUCUCUGUGGGUAUAAAAUCGCGUGAUUUCAACCAAGCGUGCGUUUCACGUGUCACGUGCUCCUGCUGUCCUCCUCGCACACCUGCAUUUCGCGUGCGCCCCACUUCAACUUGAACCAAUGAGCUCUGUUCUCUAUACUCUGCAUCUUCAGAUACUACUAUCCUGUUGUUAAACAUGUGUAUUAUAGACGCGCUGUGUUGACAUUUUCUCCAUAUUUAUGACUCUAAUAGGAUUACAACGUACGUCAUUCUAAUAGGAUUAGAAAUGUCUGCUUUAUAAGAUGAAAUGUCAACAUUGAAAGUCGACUUCGAUAGUCAGUUUCGAUUGUCGAGAUCCUCUCGUUCGUAAUAACAGAUUUAUAUCGCAUGUGAAAUUUCGUAAACGUGGUUGGCGUUUUUCGAAGACUAAGUUAUGUAGUUGGUUUCGUUUAGUAGCGUUUGUUACGUUUAUAAGUGUAUUACGGUAACUGUGAAAUAAAUAGCGCGCUACGCGUAAUGUGUCUACCGUGGAAUGUGACUUUGAUCGUGCGGAGAAAGGUAUCCGUGAACUUGUUUUCAUGCGCCGCUGAACCACGUGUUUUGGCAACGGGCACGCGCCCCUGUGUGUUUAGUUGCACGACUUUUUGUUACUCCGCUUCUCUUGUAAGGAGCAUCAUGUAUAUAUAAAAGGCCAUUUAUCUGUCAAUUUUGUUUUGGAGAAAUCGUACGUAACACGUUUUGUGCAGUAUACACCAUAGAUGGAACACAAUCGACUUUCCCGUUAAAUAGUUUCAUACUCGUAUGUAUAACCAUUUGAUAAGUAUAAACACGGUAGUAUAAAAUAUUUCAUAAAAUUAUCGAUUGUGGAUUUUUAUGUACAUACUGUAAAAUUUCGCACUUUCAAAUUUUUUACAAAGAAUAAGAAGCAUAAGAAUCCGCUCUCUAAUCAUCGCUUAAAUAUAUAUCCAUAAUCGUAUAGUAUCAUUUUUAGCAUAUAAGGAAUGCGCUUACACCUAGAAAUCGGUCGCUUGCUAUAGUUAUUGGAUAUGGUUGAGCCCAAAAUAAGAAUAAAUGAUGCUCGUAAUCAGGAAACUGUUCGUCAGAUUGAUUUCUUGAGAUAUUCAUAGAAUUUCUAAAGGUUGAUUUUUAAUAAAUCAUACUGCAACCUGAACGAUGAUGCGGAUAUUGCGAAUGAGUCGUUUGACAUUUACUAGCAGAGAAUGCCUUAUAGAUUAUUGCAAUUGUUUGAGUAACGUUACAACUCUGGCGAUAACGUGGCCGUAUGGCUUCGAUUCCUCCUCCGUUCGAAGCUUUCAAUGAGACCUAAUUCGUCUCGUAUCUCGUUGAGGAUAUUGACCUGUUUACGCAACGCUUCGAUUCGCUCACGAAGACGCAUUUUCCUACCAGAGUUUCGUCUUACGACUAGUAUUUGUUUGUCAUUUUUCCAGUGAUAAUUUACGCUUUUUUCUUAUUUCUCGUUUCAACAUUUCUCGUUCUGUAAUUACUCAUGAAAAAAAAUAUUGCCAAAUCUCAGUUACGUAUUUCCAGACGUCUUAGUCCGAUCUUCAUAAAUUCGGUUACAAGCGAUGAACAGCUGUAAAUAAUUUCGCUAUUCUACCUUUUCAAGAGAAAUUGAACAAUCUGCAGCAACAAGGAAGCGGAUAUCGAACAGUUUGCAACAAAGCGUGAAUUUAUUGCACGUUUGAAAAGCUGCUUGAGUUUUAAUUGGUUUUACUCAAAUCGCCGCACAGUAGAGUUAUUUCUUUAUUGCAGCGGUGCUUUCAAUUGCCAUUGCGUAUAACGACGUAGAUCGCUAAUCUAAUACAUACGUCGAAGCACAAAAGCGUUGUCAACGAGCGUACAACGAAGCCCGAGAAUAUUCUAUUGUACGUUCUAUUGAAAGGUCGCAGGCUUUAACGCAAUGUCGGGAACUUUUGAUUUCGAAAAUGGCGGUAAGGGACCCGACGCUGGCGAAUAACAGGAAGGGUAGGAAGGGAGAAACAGCAACAUUGAUUGCGUUCGCGCCUUUAUGCUGGUUCGCGUGUAUUGGCGCAGCUUCUGCGUAGCGUCAAAGCGGUAACCGUGUGACGCCUAGCUUGUUACUCGAUUCACGGUUCACCUUGCGUUAGCUUUGUGGAAGAAAUCCUCCUCUAACAAAAUUCAAUAUCCACCAAGUGGUGUGUGAACUCGUGUCGCAGAAGGCUAGAUUCGUCAAGCUGCCAUGCGUCACUUUCUGAUGUAACAUCCUUUCUUUCUCGGAAAACUCUUUUCCAGAGUUCCUAUAAUUCGGAAACUUUCUACGCAAUGUUAACAGCGACGAUAUCACAGCGCGACAUGCGGUAGACGAAGAUGGAAAUAAUUGUUGUUUGAUGUCAACUUUUUAAAUCUUCGAUUAAAUCAUCAGUCUUAAAAUCUAGUCGUAAUCGCGACUCGAUUGAAGAGCGAAUUUCUCUUUUAUUCCACAAAAAUGUGUAAAGUUACACAAAAACUCCGUUCAUCGCUAAAUGCACAAAAACUGACGAAAUGGAAAGCAGGAUAAAUGGUUUCUGCAUGAUAUUUACGAAAAAAUGGAGAGAUCGUUCCCGGCAUUGGCACUAUUUGGUUAAACAUCACCGUGUAUGGUUAGACAAAAAGAGAAAAUGAUAUUUAAACCGAGCCAGGAAGUAGGGAAAAUAUUAAAACAAACGUAUCAGGUUUCAGGAAAACUGCAGAUUAUAUAUAUUUUUUGAUCCUUGUUCCGAAUCCUCAUUUAAAUGCCGCACCGUGAGAACAUUGGCUGUGCACCUGGCCUGCAAACGCGCGUACCUGGUUUGUGAACGUGCUAACGUAGCCAGCGAAUUUUGAUCUUUUUCCUGAAUGCUCAUUCAAACGUCGCAGUAAACGUCGUAGUAAACAUUAAAUCCUUAUUUUCAGUGUUAAAUUGCUUUAUCGCAUUUACGUGGAAAGCUUAAUUGUGAAAAUUUUAAUUAGGUUUUUAUUAUAUUUCUUGGGCUAAUACUUUUUUUUAUUAUCAUUCAACUCUUAUUUACCUUCGUCUAUGUAGAUAUUAUGGUAAAAGUGCAGUUUCACUUUGGAGAUUGAAAAUGUUUAAUAUAAAGUAAUACAAGGUAUAAUUUUUAAUCUGCUAGAAAGCUAAGCCCCUGUUUCAUAAUUUUUCUACCAGCUCCUUGAUUAAAUAUUAUUUCUUGUAAUUUGCAACAUCCAGCGUUACACGUUAUAAUGGUGCAUUUAUACCAACCAAGCAAAUGCUCCUUCUUUGUUCGCUUUUGUAAAAUUUAGUAAAAUUUACUAAAAUACAGUGUGUAUAUAUAUAUAACAAAUACAUUGGUGUAUAAAUACCUUUUGUAGCCGCUGUAUAUUAAAUGUAGAUAAAAAGCGAUUGUGCGUGUGCCUGUAAAGGCUUAAAUUUAUAAUAAAAAAGUACGUUUAAUAAACUAUUAACUGAGAAA
Bombus terrestris (buff-tailed bumblebee) is the source of this 3633-nucleotide long non-coding RNA. RefSeq lists it as uncharacterized. The record is from RefSeq and is a predicted model, not a curated record. NCBI's taxonomy places the organism in Eukaryota, Metazoa, Arthropoda, Insecta, Hymenoptera, Apidae. The transcript is spliced from 4 exons.